UGCCCCUCACUUGCUAGCACGUCUAGAUCAGCGAGGAUGUAGGCAUGUGUAGCGUAUUUUGUCGGGUUUCGAGAUCAAGAAUCGAUGUCCCUUUGUUGUUGGUUUUCCGAGAAUCCUUGACCCUUGACCCUAUGUUGGCCACCCGGCAAAAUGCCCCUCACUUGCUACCACGUCUAGAUCAACCAGGGCGUAGGCAUGUGUAGCGUAUUUUGUCGGGUUUCGAGAUCAAGAAUCGAUGUCCCUUUGUUGGUUGGUUUUCCGAGAAUCCUUGACCCUUGAUUUGUUACUUUCGCAUCGUUCGGUGCAUUCUGGGGGAUGUUUUGGCUUUUGGUGGCUUACUUGGCCUUUUGGCUGGGUUUGUUGCUAUUGGUCGGGCGGCUUUCGGGAAUGUCGACCGUGGAGGUGCAUGAGUGGUGUUUGGUUUGUUACGUGUGGAUGGCUGUUUGCUUGCGCAACAACGUUCACGCUGCAUACCUCUUCAGUUUUGCGGCAAGGCUUGGUUUGGCCUGUGCAUAUUGUGGGUUUCCUGUGUUGCAUACCUAGUUGAAGGAAAAGUGUGGGUUUUACGAUUUUCAUUUUCGUCUUGCGUCGUUCUUUCGGCAUGGGAUGAGCAACGAAGCGAUCUUUAUGAUCCAUCGUGCUGUUGCGUUUGCAACAAUGAUGUGGCCUAUGAAGCAUCGUUUGGUCUCUUGUAUACGGAAGCUCAUUUGGGCUUGGGUCUUUAUAAGAUCUUCGUUAUGCCCUUGUUAAGCGUUCUCGCUUCUCCUAAACGAUUG
RNAcentral lists this unclassified non-coding RNA (776 nucleotides) under Centaurea ornata. Its description in RNAcentral is "partial external transcribed spacer". The record is from RNAcentral. Lineage: Eukaryota; Viridiplantae; Streptophyta; Magnoliopsida; Asterales; Asteraceae.